Labrus bergylta (ballan wrasse) is the source of this 186-nucleotide non-coding RNA. The record is from RefSeq and is a predicted model, not a curated record. NCBI's taxonomy places the organism in Eukaryota, Metazoa, Chordata, Actinopteri, Labriformes, Labridae.
CUCUUUAAUGAGUAGCAGAGCCCGUUUAAUCAGUCACAGUUCUUCUGAACACACAGAGGAAGGAAGAUUUGAGUCUCAGCUUUAAAGAGAGGCAGGUCACUCAAACCUGAGAAAGAGGAGUAACUCCAGCCCGUUCCAGAGAGGGAGAGCCAGAGACGCUUCAUUUCCUCAUUCUUUCAUUCAGUC